Molecule: ribosomal RNA, 253 nt
Filed under: uncultured bacterium
Lineage: Bacteria
Description: partial 16S ribosomal RNA
Rfam family: Bacterial small subunit ribosomal RNA
Source: RNAcentral
UGCGAAGGGGGCUAGCGUUGCUCGGAAUCACUGGGCGUAAAGCGCACGUAGGCGGACUCUUAAGUCGGUGGUGAAAUCCUGGAGCUCAACUCCAGAACUGCCUUCGAUACUGGGAGUCUCGAGUCCGGGAGAGGUGAGUGGAACUGCGAGUGUAGAGGUGAAAUUCGUAGAUAUUCGCAAGAACACCAGUGGCGAAGGCGGCUCACUGGUCCGGUACUGACGCUGAGGUGCGAAAGCGUGGGGAGCAAACAGG